RNAcentral lists this ribosomal RNA (195 nucleotides) under uncultured Gammaproteobacteria bacterium. RNAcentral's name for it is "partial 16S ribosomal RNA". It matches the Rfam family "Bacterial small subunit ribosomal RNA", at positions 337 to 524 of the family's 1533-position model. Lineage: Bacteria; Pseudomonadati; Pseudomonadota; Gammaproteobacteria. The record is from RNAcentral.
UCCUACGGGAGGCAGCAGUGGGGAAUAUUGCACAAUGGGGGAAACCCUGAUGCAGCCAUGCCGCGUGUGUGAAGAAGGCCUUCGGGUUGUAAAGCACUUUCAGUUGUGAGGAAAAGUUAGUAGUUAAUACCUGCUAGCCGUGACGUUAACAACAGAAGAAGCACCGGCUAACUCCGUGCCAGCAGCCGCGGUAAU